GUGCCCAUAGCUCAGCUGGAUAGAGUGUCUGACUACGAAUCAGAAGGUCGGGAGUUCGAAUCUCUCUGGGCACACCA
This 77-nucleotide transfer RNA is filed under the name Natronincola peptidivorans. Its description in RNAcentral is "tRNA_Arg_ACG". It matches the Rfam family "tRNA". Rfam says of the family: Transfer RNA (tRNA) molecules are approximately 80 nucleotides in length. Their secondary structure includes four short double-helical elements and three loops (D, anti-codon, and T loops). Lineage: Bacteria; Bacillati; Bacillota; Clostridia; Peptostreptococcales; Natronincolaceae. The record is from RNAcentral. RNAcentral also lists the same sequence under 2 other names.